UACGAAGGGUGCAAACGUUGCUCGGAAUUAUUGGGCGUAAAGCGCGCGUAGGCGGCUACCUAAGUCGGAUGUGAAAGCCCCUGGCUUAACUGGGGAAGUGCACCCGAAACUGAGUAGCUAGAGUGCGAAAGAAGGUCGCGGAAUUCCCGGUGUAGAGGUGAAAUUCGUAGAUAUCGGGAGGAACACCGGUGGCGAAGGCGGCGACCUGGGUCGACACUGACGCUGAGGCGCGAAAGCGUGGGGAGCAAACAGG
RNAcentral lists this ribosomal RNA (253 nucleotides) under uncultured bacterium. RNAcentral's name for it is "partial 16S ribosomal RNA". It matches the Rfam family "Bacterial small subunit ribosomal RNA", at positions 524 to 776 of the family's 1533-position model. The record is from RNAcentral.